CAUCCUACGGGAGGCAGCAGGCGCGAAACCUUUACACUGCACGCCAGUGCGAUAAGGGGACUCCGAGUGCGAGGGCAUAUAGUCCUCGCUUUUCUGCACCGUAAGGUGGUUCAGGAACAAGGGCUGGGCAAGACCGGUGCCAGCCGCCGCGGUAAUACCGGCAGCCCGAGUGAUGGCCGCUAUUAUUGGGCCUAAAGCGUCCGUAGCCGGCCGGGCAAGUCCGUUGGGAAAUCCACCCGCUCAACGAGUGGGCGUCCAGCGGAAACUGUUUGGCUUGGGACCGGAAGACCUGAGGGGUACGUCCGGGGUAGGAGUGAAAUCCUGUAAUCCUGGACGGACCACCGGUGGCGAAAGCGCCUCAGGAAGGCGGAUCCGACAAUGAGGGACGAAACCUAGGGUCGCGAACCGGAUUAGAUAUCCGGGUACUCGUUCUCGUAAACGAUAACCGAUAGGUGUGGCACAGGCUCCGAGCCUGUUCAGUGUCGAGCGAAAGCGUAAGUGUCCGCCUGCCUGCGCGAGUG
RNAcentral lists this ribosomal RNA (521 nucleotides) under uncultured Halomicrobium sp. RNAcentral's name for it is "bacterial SSU rRNA". It matches the Rfam family "Archaeal small subunit ribosomal RNA", at positions 319 to 828 of the family's 1478-position model. The record is from RNAcentral. Lineage: Archaea; Methanobacteriati; Methanobacteriota; Halobacteria; Halobacteriales; Haloarculaceae.